CUUUUAAUUUGAAGCUCCUUGUUAAGUAUUAUAUAGCAAUAUGAAUUGUGGUUGUCUCGUACAACUUUACCCUAACUGGCGCCUACAAACAUGUUCGUAUUUAAAUGUCGGUUUCGGUGUCAGAAAUAUAAAAAGCUCGAUCGUCAUGGAGCCUCGUCCUGUUUCGAAAAGCUUUCAUGUGACUAGGAGUCAUGCUGCUUUUAUUGUGUGAACCGUUUAAAUUAAAACCAGAGACUUGAGCACUCUGUGCGAUGGAGUGACAUUAUCAGUGAUAUGGCGUUUGUUCCUGGUACUUGUAUGUCAUGCAGACCAGGCAAGUGUGUUUUGAGAGCUGGGAGACAUCAGGGUUAAUUUCUGUCACAACUAUCAUGAUGAGCAGCAGGUCCCCACCUUUCCAUGUGUGCUUGAUGGGGCAAUGUAUCUUCAGAACUAUAUUUGGCCAAAGAUAUGUGGAACAGUAAAAAACUAGACGUGAUGCUACCCUGUGCAUUCUGGAUCUCUUAUCACAUACAAUUAUUUUUUAUCUCUUACUUUGAAGCUCUUUUCAAAACUAUUUUUCUUACAAAACUGCGUGUUUAAAUCAUUUAUCUUUUGGACUCUUCCUCGGUCAAUAUGUCAGUGCCUAUCUAUCAGCCCUCUGGGGUAAAAUAAACAUUUUAAGAAGAGUAUUUGGAAGCAACCCAGAGUCUGGGUUGCAGAAAUUCAUUUAAAAGACAGUGCAACAAUCUCCUGAGUAAAAGGAAAAAGUAUUGAAAAUCAAUAUAAACCCAAGAAAACAGUGUUUAUUGAUCCACAAAGUUCAGCUUCACAGGCGUCUGUUUUUAUCUUCCAUGGGUAUGAAACAUGACCCCUGUCUGUUGAUAUAAAGAAAGAGAAUGCAGACAUGGUCAACAGAGAGUUGCUUCUUGGUUUGGGACAAAAACACUGUUCUGUAAAAGGCUCCAGAAAUUUCAUGCAGAGAAUCAAAUGUAACAUAGGAGGUAACUUCAGUCCUUGUAAAACUCACCAUCUUACAAUUUACUGUUCUAACACUGGGGGGAUAACAGCAUCUUGCUGCACAAAAAUAGGCAGAGGUUAUCCGAAAAAAGUGUUGUUUUUAAUUUUUGCAUCCUUUUUUUACAUAAAUGUUGGCAACAAUAAAGUUUAACAUGGAAAGUCCUCAAUUAAAAUGUUUCAAAACAAA
This is a long non-coding RNA of Pomacea canaliculata, 1183 nucleotides long. RefSeq lists it as uncharacterized. The transcript has 2 exons. NCBI's taxonomy places the organism in Eukaryota, Metazoa, Mollusca, Gastropoda, Architaenioglossa, Ampullariidae. The record is from RefSeq and is a predicted model, not a curated record.